CCUUAGAAAAAAGAAAAGGCCAGCUGUAGCAAGGCAUUUAAAGAUUAUUUUGUUUCCUGGACAUGUAUACAUACAAAUGGAUGAGAAUCUAGAAUCCCAAAUCAGGAUUUGGGAUUUCUCUCUUUAAGAACACAGCAUGUGUUGAAUAUGGUGCCCACAGCAGAAAGGGCAUAGAACUGGCAUGGCAUAGAGAUAACCAGAAGGAAAUUUUAAAUCUGUGUAGAGUAGUAAAGUUGAUUUUGUUAAAAUUUGGCCAUUCUGCAGAAAGAAAGGAUUAUACAUAGUUCAGAUCAUGCCAAAAUGAGAAUUGUGGCUCCACAGCUUUGCUUUUGACACUGUAGAGAGGAGGGUAAUGUUGAAUGUCCUUGGUUCUAGCUUCAGGCUAUGUAUUCUAAAUUCAUCAGUUACUGGAUAAUAUACAGACCUGGAAAUGAACAGGAUAAACAGACUUGGAAGUUGUAGUUCAAACCCAGAAAUUCCCCCUCACAAUUAUCUCUUUUGUUACAGGGUUUGAAUUAGAGGACCUCAAUUUCUUUGCAGAUUAUUUCAAGUCACCAGAGAACAGUUAGGGUGGGGAGUAGGAGAUGGUGCAUUAGCAUCAGAACAUGCAUUAAUUGCUGAGAAAUGGCAGACAUUGCACUGGCUCAUCCCCACCUGCUUAUUUUCAGACAGCAUCAAAUUAAAUUCUGCAGGACAAAGCAAACUCAGUCGACCUUUAGGAGCAUACAGCAUUUCAUUAAUUUCUCUUGAUACCUAAAGCUGUAUUUUGAUGCAAGAGCAUGGCUUGCUCUCAACAUUCAGAUAAGCAAAUCUUUUUUGUGACUGGCAGAAAGGUAAGUUGUGAACAGAAAGGUAAGUUUAUGAACAGAACACAGCUAUACAAUCCAGCACUGCAUUUUCUCACAGUAAGCAUUGUGCCCCAUGUGGCUGCCACAUGUUUGUUAUGACCAGUUUCAGAAAAUACUGGAAGAGCUUCCUUAAGGCUUCAUGUAUUUCAAGCAAAGGUUUAAGAGUGACUAGUCUAUCAUCUUCCUGUUGAGUAGUCUGUGAAUAGAUUUAACAGAAUUAAAGAUUAAAAACUCAAUUUGGACAUCCUGAAUUUUUGAGUGCAACUAAACUUGUAAAGUGUCGAAACUCCUUGUCACCCUAGGAAAGAAUCUCACCUGUUGACAGACUUGCAGCUUAACCUGGGUAUCUGCAUUCUUCCUCCACCCCCCUUCAUUUUCUUUGCAGAUCCUUUCAGGUCUUUGCAAUCCAGAACAAUUCCCACCAAUGGAUCCAAUACAGGAAUUUAUAUUUCCUCCUGAGCUAGUGGUAGACCUUACUGAUAUUUGUUAUCCCAAGCAUAACUGAGUUCCUACAAAUUUUGAAAACCUGAUGUUUUUGUGAAACUGAAAGAUCUGUUCUCAGAUAAAUAGAAGAUGCUAGUUUUAGUCACACAUAAUGAGACAUUUCAAUGUGAAUAAUCUACAUGUUAACAUUAUUACAAAUACCUAACUUUUUCAAAAAAGAAAUUGCCUCUGCAAAAUCAACUCUUUUUUUUUUUUUUUUUACUGUAGUGUUUUCUCUGAAAGAUCCCAAAUGAACUUCUCUAUCUUUUCUGUCUUGUAUUCUCUGUUGGAUGGCUUCUUCCAGCGGGGACAUAGACCCUAACAACCUGAAACUGGACUUAGGUGCAGGUCCACAGGAAAGGCAAUGGACUAGAAAAGGAAAGAAGAGUGUUAAUUGCAGUAGUUAUGGAAAUUCACAGAAGGACAGAUGAAAAGUUGAAAGGGGAGGAGGAGGAGGAAAGGCUCAUGACAGAGGCAAGAGAUCUGUGAGAAUGGUAGUGCAGGAUUUACCCACACCAGACUGAGUAGAAUCCAAGCAGUCAGGUUCAGACUCUUUUUUUUAAUCCUCACUCAUGUUUCAGUAGCUUAUUGCAAAAUUCUUUGUUUGCAUUUCUUUUGCAAAUAUUCGUGGGCAGUUCCUGCUGCUAUUACACAACCACCUCACAAGCACAAAAGUUCACUUGAGUUCUGAAAAUGCGUGGCACAGUUCUUUGGUUUGUCAUGAUAUCAGAGUGCUAUUUGCUGCAAGGCAGUUGGCUUUGUAAACACUUGUCAGUGCAACUUUCGUAUUAAAUGAUUGCCUCUCAGUGCAGAACAUUCAUAGUAAGGCAUAAAAUCCUUUAUGAAACCAUGAAAGGGAAAGUAAAUCUGCCUUUCUGCUACUUGCCCUGCCUUUGAGACUCAUGUUUACAAUGCAAGUAUUAAUGUUUUACAAAUGUUAUACUUGGAUUAAGAUCAUGGCUAAACUGCUGCUGGUUGAUAAAGCUGGUCAGACAGAAAGAAGAUGCCACCAUCUGCUCUGCAUGUUCAGAUUGAGCUGCCAGGAGGAGUGCACUGCUUCUCCAGCCCACACAAGGUAUCCAUAGCAGUAAGAUUAUGAUUGGUUUCACAGACACCAAGUGGUUUUUUUUUUGUUUUUCAGGUAUGUCAUUUACCUAGAAGGCCAGUCCAGAGUUGCAACAGGUCUUUGGCUUGUCCACUGGUGUUUUAAUUGCAUUUUCUGCAAAGAUAGGUGUUUCUCAGGGAUUGCUUUUGCAUAUUUUGAAGCCAUGAUUCCACAUGGCACUUGUCAAGUAUGAAAAGAACAUACAUGAUAUCCUCGGGAGGAAAAAAAGGCUAUAUAUAUGUAUAUACACAUAUAUAUGUAUAUAGGUAAGAAACAAGGUGGCAGAAAACCACUUUGAUUAACAUAAAUACUGAUCAACCAUCCCAAGGAGACAAUACUUCUGGAAAGACAAAUUUUUAAAACAUUUAUGUACUGCAGAAACUAGUCUGGGUCUAGCAUGGUAGAUACAUGACUCAGCAAAUAGGGAUGUAGUGAUCCUCCCUAAGAGAACACACUUCUUGUAUUCUGCCACAUAUGCAGUGAGACUUUAGCAUCCUGAUUUCCCCUGAAGUCCAGUAACAUUGCUUUACAUUAUACACAAGGGAAAUCUUUCAGAAUCUUCAGAGUAGGAAAAAGAAACAUAAUAUUAAUCUUCUCCUACUAUUUAUUUUGUGUGUCUCUUACAAUGUCAUUUAGUUCAUUCUUAUUUCAGUUUCCUGAGCAAUAAUAUAAUUAUGAUAUAAGCUCAGCACCACAGGAACCUCAGGUGAAAAGCUUCAUUAAUGUCUCACUGCCUGUCAUGACAGUGGUUCAUACUGGCAGUAGUCAAAUCUACCAAUCUUUGUCAUUUCCAUCACAGAGAACGGCUCGAGCAACAAAGAACUGUGAUUUUCCAUGAGAAGAGAACAACACAGAUUUCUCCCCCUGGCCUGAGGAAGCUGAGGGAAUGGCCGUUGAGGGGUAGAAAAGUAAACCUGGUUUCUGUCAACAGAGAUGAUAUGAGAGAGGACUUCUGAAGGGAACAGUAGAUUAAAUCACAUUAAAAAGUACAAAGGUAGACUUCAGUUAAGAUUGAAUAAAACAAAUACAAUUUCUAACAAGUCUUUUGGUGGAAUAAAUGGGGUUAUGGGACAGCUCCCUGUUACAUAUAAGAAGGGCAAGCUGAAAAAUAAUCUCAUUGUUUGUUGAAGUCUUUAGGAAGACACAUUGUAAGCAGGGGAUCAUCCUGGGACUCAAACCCAACCUCACCAGCUGGCACAUCUGUCCUUUGGCAUCAGAAGGAUGACUUCAUUUCAGUCUUCUGACAGGCUGAAAGACAGGAAAAUGCCCUGUCCAUAGCGAAUUGUGGGAAGCUAGUCCUUUUCCAUCCAGGCACAAACAGCAUUGUAGAGCUGAAUAUUUUAUUUGGAGGCAUUGGCUCAACCACACUCUGUGCAAGAAAGUCCUGUAAGACUUCCUUAUAGGAAGGAAUUGGUGGCUUCAGCUUUAAACCUCAAGUCCAAAACAAUUCUGUGUGCCAUGUGAAACGUGUUGGUGGAGCAUUUGGGGGGAAGGUACUAAACCAUCACUCUUUGUUGUAAUUGCAGCUGUGGCAGCCAACAAAUGAUAAAUAUGUAACUCAGAAUUGAAUAUGAACCACUUCUCGGACAUAAAGCCAGCUCUGCAAGAUGGAACACGUAACCCACAACUAGUGGACUAUGCCCUUUUAUUCAAAUUUCUUCUAGAGUCACUGAAGUUAUUUGGAUAACCGCUGAUGUGCUUUGCCUCUGCUUUCUUCAAAAUGAGAUGACAAGAAAAUGCACCCUCACCCUUUGUGUUUUGUGUCUUUCCAGAGUAAUGCCUUCAAUCUGCUCUUCCAUGUCUUGUGCUUCCCUCCCUCCAGGGGUUGGCAGGACAGAGCAGUAGCCUGCUGCAGAGUACUUAUUUCUGUACAAUGAGGCAGGAGCCAACUUCCCUCCCCAUAUCAGUCCUAGCCAACAAUGAUUACACAAGCGUUUCUGCAGAAAGCAGGGCAAGAUGGCCAUGAUGACAUUGUUUCCUGACAAUAGCCACCUCACAGGUUUUCCAUUGCACUCAUCCUUUGGCACUGUACAAGGAGAUACAUCUGGAGUUGCUUAAUACCUUGUCAUUGGGCCCAAAUUUUUGUUUAUAAGUUAAACAGGGAAAAAAAGGAAUAAAAAAAUUAAAGUAGUAAAGCACAGUAGCAAUUAUGAAAUAAAGAGUAAGAUUUUACCAGCCAUUCUCUCAUCAAUGCAUGUCCAGUCGGAAAACAAACUAAAAAAACACUCUGGGAGACUGGAAAAUAGGAAAUGUCUGAUGAAACUAUGUCAAGUUUCAUCAGACAUUUCUGAUAACAUGUUUAAACAUAAGUUUAAACAAAUCUGUUGUGCUCUAGGCUAAAAAUGUCUCCAUGAAAAAGGACACAAAUUACAUCAGGCAGACCUGCAGGUCCCUCUCUUCUAAUAGCAGCCAGCUAGAGAUUCCUACCUCAGCCUGCCUUAGGAAUUGGGGUUGGGAAUUCUGCAUCCAUCCACUUCUGCUUCCUUCCGUGCAGGAUAUCCAGCAGUCAGUGUUUCUCAGUGGUAGAACUUCUCAUACUCAUAGAAGUCAUAACCAAGGUAAAGAACCUUCAUGGGCUGUGCUGUGCAGAAAACUUGUUAACAACUUAGAAUUUAAAGAAAGAUGAAUUUGCUAUUCAGUCACCAGGAGAUGAUGUACUAUCUCCAGGAAUGCACUAAGAACUGUAGGCUUUCUUUGCAAACAUCAUGGCCCCCACAAUUCAAUGCAGUCUCAUUCAACUGUAUUGCAUAGUGGAACCUUGUAAGUCAGUUCCUGUAAUGUGAGCCUCUCAGGCUGAGAGCUCUCCUGUGCUGUGGAGGUAUGAGCUUAAUUACCUGUUCAAUUACAAGAAUGCCACUGUUCACUAGAGGUAAGUUGGUUGAUUUCCCAACCUUUUGUAACUUGAGAAAAUUGAGCUAUGUGUGUGCAAUGAAAUUUGUGUGGCUGAUAAGGAACAUGCAUUUGUGAAAUACAGUAAGGGAUUUUUUUUUUCCUUAGCAAAAUUAUUUUUUUAUGUUUUAUUUUGGUUUCCUAAAGACAAACCUGGAUGGGCUUAGAUUAUAGAUCAGUUCUGCUGUCCUAAAGAUCAGAAAACCAGAUGACACCUUUAGCCACUUACUGACUGCAAGCAUUCCUGCAGACAGAAUUAGAACUGUCAUACACACACACACAUAUAUAUAUACGACACCAUCUUGGUAGAACAAGAUAGAAGCACCAGUUCUCUUGUCCUGCCAAGUAAAAGACCUGUCAUUAAUGUGUUUCAUGCUACACUGGAACAGUUCUGGAGUUACCUCAAGAACUUGAAACAAUUUGCAUGCAAUUUUGUAAGUACCUGCAACAAAGAGCAGAUCACAAGUAGUACCAUUUUGUCACUUCUACAUCCAGUUUGAGAGUAAGAACUGUUAUCUGAUUUUUUUCUGUUCUUCCAGCAUAUGGAAAAUCCCAAGGAUCAGAAUGAGACGCUGUACAAAUUAAUGAUGGGUGAUGUAUCAAUAUUUCAGUAAAACAGAGAUUCUAAAAGUACAUACUGCCAAGUAUUUCUAGGCACAGAUAUAUUACCACCCAAGUAACACACCAGUUUAGCUCUGCUUCCUGGCAGCCCACCUCAGGCCUGCUCCACAUCAUCAGAUCUCUCUGAACCACUAACUCUGGCCUCUCCCAGAGGUGGAAUGUAAUCACUGCUAUUCACUGCCUUGUCACCACUCACUUCUCCUCUGCCUUACCCACAGUUUUGCCCCUUCUUUCCAGCAAAAUGCUGAAGCAGGACCAAGUUGAUGCAUUCAUCCCAGAUGAGGAGAGAGCACGAGGUGGGGAAGUGGCACUGGAGGUAGGAAGGGUUAAGAGCAGGACAGGAUCCCAGUACCAGCUGUUUUCCUAACAGAGGUGAGGUUGCCCAUAGCAACCAUCAGCAGAGCAGAUGUGCAGCAGGUGACCAAGAGGGAAAGGUGGAGAGGAGGGCCGAGAGGGGAACCAUGACAACAUGAGUUCAUUAUAGGUGUGGCAGCUCAGCUGUGCCAAACAACUGGCACUCUGACAGACACUUCUUUGGAAAGGAGGUUUUAAAGUGAUCCAGUGGCAGCUGUAUGAGUCUUGAUGGAACAUUUCCCUAUGAGGAGGGCAGUCUGGAAAGCAAAUGUAAAGGUAUUUGAGAGGGAGAAAAGGAAAUACCUGAGCUGAGCCAGUGUAGAUAUACAUACAAAUCAAUAUUCAGCUUUGAUAGCUGAUAGUUCAAAGCCAUAAAAUUAACAGUGAGAUCACAUUUAACAACAUCAUUCUGUAACCAAACACUAGCAUAAGAAACAACUCUGGAGAUGCUCAACAGGUAUUGCAUUAGUUCAGAUCCUGAGCUCAUUUACAUAAACACAUUGAUUUUCAUUUAUUUCACUGAUGACAGUGCAGGCUUAAAUUAGCAUAGUAUAUAAAGGAGGGUGACCUGCACACACCCUCACAUAAGUCACAUUUAAUCUAAGUCUGUAGAGAUAAAAAAAGAUCUUAUUCCUUUACAUCGGUAAAAUUUUCCUGUUCCUUUCUCUUGGUAAAGUGUGAGAAACUACAGCUAAUGGGAAAAGCUCAACUGGUGACGAGCUUUGUAGUUUUGUCAUAUCAAAGAUUUUAGGGAGCUGACAACGGGUAUUAUUAUAUCUUUGUGUUUCCUUUCCUUAAAAUGUGGUUUUAAUAAUUCCUGAUUUUUCUUCUUAGCUUUUUUAUUGAUUUAGACAAAUGCUCUCAUUUUAGAAUGAGCAACCAAUGUAAUCAGUGGCUUGGGUUUAGAAUUAAUGGACAAAUAUUUGCUAAUAUUAAGGUGAAAAUUCUUCCUCUGAAUGUGGUAUUUUUGAAGUUAGUAUUUUGGGAAUUUCAUUGAGCUCUUAACUGGAAUCUGCAAAAAUGUUUAUUGAAUAAAACUUGUAUGCACUGUACUGCUAUUUCAUGGCACUGGGAUCUAUCACCAGUAUUGUUUCAAGGAUAAAAUAGUAACAAAAUCUGGUAUGAGAUGA
This is a long non-coding RNA of Onychostruthus taczanowskii (white-rumped snowfinch), 7430 nucleotides long. RefSeq lists it as uncharacterized. The record is from RefSeq and is a predicted model, not a curated record. The transcript has 5 exons. Lineage: Eukaryota; Metazoa; Chordata; Aves; Passeriformes; Passeridae.